Non-coding RNA from Arachis ipaensis, 517 nucleotides. Lineage: Eukaryota; Viridiplantae; Streptophyta; Magnoliopsida; Fabales; Fabaceae. The record is from RefSeq and is a predicted model, not a curated record.
CUACUAUCACUGAGGUUGCUACUUUAAUUCUGAUGCACUUCGUCCCUGCCCCUGCUCACCGUUGUCGUUUGUUCUACCGCUGCUUUUGAUUUUUGCAGACGCCAAAGCCUCUGCCACAGAGUAUUGCUGUUGGAAUCGCCGAAAACCCUUACUGUCUAGGCUAGCAUUGUUGAUCUAUUCUGCCUUCCCCUGUUAAUGAACCACUUGAAAGCAUAUAUGUGGAUCUUGGCUUUAGGGGAAAUACCUUGGCAGAAGGUCUGGUGGUGAGCAUAUGUCUUGGUGGUGCGUUAAUUAGAAGUCUAUUCAGUGGCUGGAUUGCUGAUGCAGAUGAGCAUUGUAGGGCUUUCCAGAGUAAAUUUUUGCAUGAAAUUUCUCAUUCCAAAUUUACCAAAGAAAUAUAUAUGGGGACUACUAAAUCAUUUUGAUUUCACUCAAUCAAAACACGUCACUUUAUAAAUGUCAUGUAGAUGAUAUGAUAUCACUAUUUUUUGUCUUAAUGAUAGAUUAGGAAUUUUAA